Phthorimaea operculella (potato tuberworm) is the source of this 74-nucleotide non-coding RNA. The record is from the annotation of a GenBank genome assembly. Lineage: Eukaryota; Metazoa; Arthropoda; Insecta; Lepidoptera; Gelechiidae.
GCGCCCGUAGCUCAGCUGGCAGAGCGGUGGGACGGUACCCCACUGUCCCGGGUUCAAGUCCCGGGGCGGUCGCU